This 135-nucleotide small nucleolar RNA is filed under the name Marmota monax (woodchuck). Lineage: Eukaryota; Metazoa; Chordata; Mammalia; Rodentia; Sciuridae. The record is from RNAcentral.
GUACAUAUCAGUAGAUCUUACUUUGCUUUUUCUUGGCUUUGUGAGAAGGACAGCAUAUGCUAGAGGUGGUAUUGAGUGACUGUCUUGUGCAGCCAGCAGGAUAAAUGGUUUGGCUGAACUGUCAUUCCCACAUCC